GGGCGGUUAGCUCAGUUGGCUAGAGCAUCUGGUCGACAACCAGAAGGUCACUGGUUCAAGUCCAGUACCGCCCA
Molecule: transfer RNA, 74 nt
Organism: Phycisphaerae bacterium
Lineage: Bacteria; Pseudomonadati; Planctomycetota; Phycisphaerae
Rfam family: tRNA
About the family: Transfer RNA (tRNA) molecules are approximately 80 nucleotides in length. Their secondary structure includes four short double-helical elements and three loops (D, anti-codon, and T loops).
Source: Rfam